This is a long non-coding RNA of Helianthus annuus (common sunflower), 347 nucleotides long. RefSeq lists it as uncharacterized. The transcript has 3 exons. The record is from RefSeq and is a predicted model, not a curated record. NCBI's taxonomy places the organism in Eukaryota, Viridiplantae, Streptophyta, Magnoliopsida, Asterales, Asteraceae.
GGACGCAUGGGGCGACCAGGAGACAUCACCAAGCCCUAGUUCAUCACUUAAUUCACAAAAUUGAAGGUCCAAAUCUGAUCAAAAACAAAAAUUGAGCAUAGAUUACUGAUCCUCAUCACAAGAGGAUUACAAGGAAAAGAUACCGGAGCGUCGAGUGGACAAGCCGGUGGCGAUUCGCGUUGAAGGGCGUGCACUAAAGGUGAUGUUGAAAGGUAACCGGAAGAUGAUCGAGCUAGAUUUUGAAGAACCGAACACUACUUACAAGCUUCCGCAAUGUUUUAAAUCUUUAAUAGACUAUGUUUAUGGGUUGUAAUCAAUAGUUAAACAUCUUUUGAAAUGUUUUAACU